This 355-nucleotide ribosomal RNA is filed under the name uncultured bacterium. Its description in RNAcentral is "bacterial SSU rRNA". It matches the Rfam family "Bacterial small subunit ribosomal RNA", at positions 8 to 352 of the family's 1533-position model. The record is from RNAcentral.
AGAGUUUGAUCAUGGCUCAGAAACGAACGCUGGCGGCACGUUUUAAGCAUGCAAGUCGAACGGUAAUCCCGUUUUCGGAUGGGAUGAGAGUGGCGGACGGGUGAGUAACACGUAGGUGAUCUAUCUUAUGGUUGGGGGAUAGCCCAUGGAAACAUGGGGUAAUACCGCAUGAUGUCCUGCAUUUUUUGGAUGUGGGAUGAAAGGCGCGUUAUGUGCCGACUGAGGAUGAGCCUGCGGUCCAUUAGCUGGUUGGUAGGGUAAAGGCCUACCAAGGCGACGAUGGAUAGCCGGCCUGAGAGGGUGGACGGCCACACUGUGGACUGAGACACGGCCCAGACUCUCUACGGGAGGCAGC